AUUAAAAUAAUAUAUAAUUUUUGGGAAAAAUGUUAUUUAAUACCUCAACUAACAAAAAAUGGCCAAAUUAACCGUGAACUCGUGAAAUGGCCGUUUUAACUCUCAACAAAAAGUUGACUUCUGUUUUAACCUUUAAGUUUGCGUUGACUCGGCCUAAUUAACCACCGUUAAAAAUCCUUCUAACAGCGUAAUUGACAGCCGUUAUAGAACAUCCGUUAAGGUGAUACGACGACGUUUUGUGCUAUCAAUACGACGACGUUUUGUGCUAUCAAUAGAACAUCCGUUAAGGUGAUACGACGAUCAUUUCGAGCUGCCUCUACUCUAUCAUCAUCUUCAUCGUCAGAGGACAAAGGAUCUGGAAUCUUGUCUUCAUCCCAUAUAUCAUCUCCGCCGUCAUUGUCACUAGCUUCUUCUUCUCCAUUAGCCUCUGGAAAAUCUCUUUCCAUGUCUAAGUUACCAUCUUCUUCGACACCUAAUCCAGCAGUAUCAUCUUCUUCUCUAUUAGUAUCUACUGCAUCAUCAACCUCAUCGCAGUCUUCAUCUCCUUGGACUGCACAGUCAUCGUCUUCAUCAAGAGCAGGAACUUCAGCCUCUAAAUCCUCCUCUUCUUCAUCUCUGAUUCUCCUUCGUUUACUUCGUCUAAGUGGAGCACGAACUUCAACGCCUGAUUCAAUGUGAGCUUCCUCGUGAGCUUCCUCUUCUCCGCCACAAGACGUUUCACCUAAAGCUUCCUCUUCCUCUUGUCCAAUUUCACGACGAGUUGAUUCUUCAACUGCAACAUCAGCUUCCUCUUCCAAUCUAUUUUGCCUUCGUUUACUUCGCCUAAGUGGAGAACAAACUGCGGUUGCAUUUCCCACAUCAACGGACUGACCUCGAGCUUCUUCUCCAAUUUGAUUUGCUUCUCCUUCCGGCAUUGGUUCAACUGCAUCGUGAGCUUCUUCUUCCAAUCUGAUUUGCCUUCGUUUACUUCGCCUAAGUGGAGAACGAACUUCGGCCACAUCUGCCACAUCAACAUUUGAUACUACAUUCGCUUGACCUCGAGCUUCUUCUCCAAUUCGAUCUGCUUCUCCUUCCGGCGUUGCUUUAGCUGCAUCUUGUGCUCCCUCUUCUCCGCCACAAGACUCAGAUACCACAUUCGUUUCACCCACAACUUCUUCUCCAAUUUCAUCUCUUUCUCCUCGCGGUAGUGCUUCAACUCCAUCUCCCACCAAAUUCUCUGAUUCGUGAAGCAUUGGAGAUCCAAUCAUCAUAACGACGCCAUUCUUUCUAACUAAUGGCAUUUCAGAAAACGAAUUGAAGCAAUUAGGGUUUCGAUUUUGAUUUUGGGGGCAGGAUUAGGUUUCGAUUUGGGUUUAGGGUAAUUGAUUUUGUUUUGAGAAAU
Molecule: small RNA, 1381 nt
Filed under: Arabidopsis thaliana (thale cress)
Lineage: Eukaryota; Viridiplantae; Streptophyta; Magnoliopsida; Brassicales; Brassicaceae
Description: ATSL048260
Source: RNAcentral